Molecule: transfer RNA, 74 nt
Filed under: Trialeurodes vaporariorum (greenhouse whitefly)
Lineage: Eukaryota; Metazoa; Arthropoda; Insecta; Hemiptera; Aleyrodidae
Description: tRNA-Ile for anticodon AAU
Rfam family: tRNA
About the family: Transfer RNA (tRNA) molecules are approximately 80 nucleotides in length. Their secondary structure includes four short double-helical elements and three loops (D, anti-codon, and T loops). Further hydrogen bonds mediate the characteristic L-shaped molecular structure. tRNAs have two regions of fundamental functional importance: the anti-codon, which is responsible for specific mRNA codon recognition, and the 3' end, to which the tRNAs corresponding amino acid is attached (by aminoacyl-tRNA synthetases). tRNAs cope with the degeneracy of the genetic code in two manners: having more than one tRNA (with a specific anti-codon) for a particular amino acid; and 'wobble' base-pairing, i.e. permitting non-standard base-pairing at the 3rd anti-codon position.
Source: RNAcentral
GGCCCCAUAGCUCAGCCGGUUAGAGCGUCGUGCUAAUAACGCGAAGGUCGUGGGUUCGAUCCCCCCUGGGGCCA